GACGAACGCUGGCGGCGUGCCUAAUACAUGCAAGUCGAACGCAUUUUCUUUCACCGUUGCUUGCUACCCCGCGAGAAACUGAGUGGCGAACGGGUUAGUAACACGUGCGUAACCUGCCCGUCAGCGUGGGAUAACAGUUGGAUACAGGUGCUUAUCCUGCCUAAUUCAAUUUACCGCAUGGUCGAUCGUUGAAACGCGCGUUUGCGUCACAUAUGGAUGGACCCGGGGUGCAUUAGCUAGUCGGUGGGGUAACGGCCUACCUAGGCUGCGAUGCAUAGCCGGCCUGAGAGGGUGAUCGGCCACACUGGAACUGAGACACGGCCCAGACUCCUACGGGAGGCAACAGUGGGGAAUAUUGGACAAUGGGCGCAAGUCUGAUGGAGCAAGGCCGCGUGUAUGAAGAAGGUCUUCGGGUUGUAAAACACUUUUAGUGGGAAAGAAGAGAGUAAAGUUGGGAACUUUACUCCUUGACGGUACCCGAAGAAGAAGCACCGGCUAACUCCGUG
RNAcentral lists this ribosomal RNA (506 nucleotides) under uncultured bacterium. RNAcentral's name for it is "partial 16S ribosomal RNA". It matches the Rfam family "Bacterial small subunit ribosomal RNA", at positions 28 to 507 of the family's 1533-position model. The record is from RNAcentral.